Molecule: ribosomal RNA, 497 nt
Filed under: uncultured bacterium
Lineage: Bacteria
Description: partial 16S ribosomal RNA
Rfam family: Bacterial small subunit ribosomal RNA
Source: RNAcentral
GACGAACGCUGGCGGCGUGCCUAAUACAUGCAAGUUGAGCGCUGAAGGUUGGUACUUGUACCAACUGGAUGAGCAGCGCACGGGUGAGUAACGCGUGGGGAAUCUGCCUUUGAGCGGGGGACAACAUUUGGAAACGAAUGCUAACACCGCAUAAAAACUUUAAACACAAGUUUUAAGUUUGAAAGAUGCAAUUGCAUCACUCAAAGAUGAUCCCGCGUUGUAUUAGCUAGUUGGUGAGGUAAAGGCUCACCAAGGCGAUGAUACAUAGCCGAACUGAGAGGGUGAGCGGCCACAUUGGGAGUGAGACACGGCCCAAACGCCUACGGGAAGGAGCAGUAGGGCAUCUUCGGCAAUGGACGAAAGUCUGAGCGCGCAACGCCGCGGGAGGGAAGAAGGUUUUCGGAUCGUAAAACUCUGUUGGUAGAGAAGAACGUUGGUGAGAGUGGAAAGCUCAUCAAGUGACGGUAACUACUCAGAAAGGGACGGCUAACUUCGUG